RNAcentral lists this ribosomal RNA (253 nucleotides) under uncultured bacterium. RNAcentral's name for it is "partial 16S ribosomal RNA". It matches the Rfam family "Bacterial small subunit ribosomal RNA", at positions 524 to 776 of the family's 1533-position model. The record is from RNAcentral.
UACGUAGGGUGCAAGCGUUAAUCGGAAUUACUGGGCGUAAAGCGCACGUAGGUGGCGACGUAAGUCGGGUGUGAAAGCCCCGGGCUCAACCUGGGAAUUGCAUUCGAGACUGCAUUGCUGGAGUACGGAAGAGGAGGGCGGAAUUCCCGGUGUAGCGGUGAAAUGCGUAGAUAUCGGGAGGAACAUCAGUGGCGAAGGCGGCCCUCUGGUCCAGUACUGACGCUGAGACGCGAAAGCGUGGGGAGCGAACAGG